GGAUUUAUAAUGUAUAUCUCUUAUCUUUUUACAGGUAGCAUUUACAACAAAGAUUUAUCACCCAAAUAUAAACAGCAACGGGAGUAUCUGUUUGGACAUUCUACGGUCCCAGUGGUCUCCAGCACUUACAGUGUCUAAAGUUUUAUUGUCCAUAUGUUCAUUGCUGUGUGAUCCGAACCCAGAUGACCCCUUAGUUCCAGAUAUAGCACACAUGUACAAGAACGACAAAGACAAAUACAACAAACUAGCAAAAGAUUGGACCCAAAAGUACGCCAUGUAAAGAAAAAAAGAAGAAAACAUGCUGAGAAUUUUCCUUUUUCCUUCCUUUUUUUUUUAAAAGUCACAACACACUGUACAUUAUAGUAUGGAAUCAUUAAGUAAUCCUAGGUAACUUCCAUCAAACUGAACUGUCAUUAACAAUAUCAUUAAUCCAUGACAUGUACAUUGAUUGUUUUUGAAAGGAAGCAGAAGAGAAUGAUUCCCUGCGGUCGCUAUAUGGACGAUGAUGUUUCCAAGAAGCAUGUUGUUCUUGCAUCAAGGAAUUUUUAUUUAUAACUCAAGUUAUUACAAAUUGCAUUCUUCAUUUUUGAAGUAAGACUAGUAGAUUGUAGGAUUUAAAUCCCAACAGAUGCCAUUCAGCGAGAAGCCUUUUUUCCCAGAGGAGCCGAGUGAUUGAGUACCAUACAUGCUAGCUGCUCCUGGAGAGGAAUAGCCCACGUUCAGUCCCUGCUGCAGCAUCAGCUGCAGGAAACCCCCAACCAUGGAAAUGUGGAUGGGUGAAUGCCAAAUAUGUGAGCCCAACAUUCUGAGACAUGUCAUGUAGUGGGUGAUCAAGGUUUAUUUUUUAUUUUUUUUGCAUCUUGUAGCAGACGAAGUGGAAUGAAACAAUGUACUGUUUCCCUGAAAACAGGAGAAAUUACAAGUCACGUAUUACUAAUUGUAUAGCAUUAAAAUCGUCUUGGAUAUUUCAUUUAAAUUAGAGUUAUCACUAUGUAAAUCUGUCAUUCAAAUGAUGUCCUCUUUUCCCCUGAGAGUAGAAGUGACGUUGGCUUUUUGGUUGGUUUUACACAGGAACAAAGAAGAGAUUUGAAUCCACUGACUGACCUGUAAUAAAGGGUUACAUGUGUUCAUCUAUAUAUCCAUCUAUGCUAUAAAAGUGUUGAAAAUGUAUUUGUUUGUUCCUGUGUAAAUAGUCUCACUUGUGUCUUUGAGGCCUGUGUGGCACCUUUUGUACUGAAUUAAAGAAAGGUACCGUUUUUA
Molecule: long non-coding RNA, 1260 nt
Organism: Notothenia coriiceps (black rockcod)
Lineage: Eukaryota; Metazoa; Chordata; Actinopteri; Perciformes; Nototheniidae
Exons: 3
Source: RefSeq, a predicted model, not a curated record